Molecule: long non-coding RNA, 895 nt
Filed under: Gopherus agassizii (Agassiz's desert tortoise)
Lineage: Eukaryota; Metazoa; Chordata; Testudines; Testudinidae
Description: lncRNA (ENSGAGG00000002999.1)
Source: RNAcentral
CAGCUUUCUUACGCUAAGGAAGAUGCUUUGCAAAUCAGUCAAUUGUAUCUUUCGAGGGGGCGGGUUAAUAUUUUUAUUAUUGUUGUUGUUAUUCCAGAUCUGAGGAAAAAAAUCAGCAACCAAGGCGACCAAAAAGACAGAGAGAAAGAGAGAGGACACACUUGGUAGAGAAGUCUGAAUCCCAAACCUCUUGUGUAAAUGACUACAGAAGGAGCAAGGGAGUGGAGAAUCAGACCCCAGGAAGGAACCAGCAGAAAUCUUUAGAGGGAGAGAAGCUCCUUGUGCUUUCCAGAAGAUGGCGCUCAUUCUCCAUUGGAUUGGGGAGCAGCCUGCACCUGAGGCAGAGAAUGGAGCUACUUGAACAAGAUGAAAUGAUACUUUGCUUGAGCCUGAGCUGCUGUCACAGUCUCUCACCCAACGUCAACUCAGCACCUUCUGCUGUUUUCAUCGUAGACAUCAGAUCCCUGCAGGUUCUGAGAUGGGGUGACACUAGAACAGGGAGUGACAAACAAAGUAUCAUGGGACAAGAAGAAAGGGCACGUUACCCCCAGGCAAGUUGGAGAGUUUUUCCGAAUGGGAUUUCACUGGUCUAUAAUAAAUGUUCCAGUCACAGAAUAUCAGGGUUUGGAAGGGACCGCAAGCGGUCAACUGGUCUAACCCCUUCUCAGAGCAGGACCAAUCCCCAGACAGAUUUUUACCCUAGUUCCCUAAAUGCCCCCUUCAAGGAUUGAACUCACAACCCUGGGUUUAGCAGGCCAACGCUCAACCCACUGUAAAAACGAAGAAUCUCAGUGCUUAAAGAAACACUGGACUAAAUAGUGACCAAAGCAAAAAGAGAAAGAAAAAUGUAGCUCUUUGGUACAAAUUAAAAAAAAUAAAUACUGCAUGUAACACA